RNAcentral lists this ribosomal RNA (1372 nucleotides) under uncultured bacterium. RNAcentral describes it as "bacterial SSU rRNA". It matches the Rfam family "Bacterial small subunit ribosomal RNA", at positions 28 to 1381 of the family's 1533-position model. The record is from RNAcentral.
GAUAAACGCUGGCGGCGUGCCUAAUACAUGCAAGUCGAGCGAACGGACGAGAAGCUUGCUUCUCUGAUGUUAGCGGCGGACGGGUGAGUAACACGUGGAUAACCUACCUAUAAGACUGGGAUAACUUCGGGAAACCGGAGCUAAUACCGGAUAAUAUUUUGAACCGCAUGGUUCAAAAGUGAAGGACGGUCUUGCUGUCACUUAUAGAUGGAUCCGCGCUGCAUUAGCUAGUUGGUAAGGUAACGGCUUACCAAGGCAACGAUGCAUAGCCGACCUGAGAGGGUGAUCGGCCACACUGGAACUGAGACACGGUCCAGACUCCUACGGGAGGCAGCAGUAGGGAAUCUUCCGCAAUGGGCGAAAGCCUGACGGAGCAACGCCGCGUGAGUGAUGAAGGUCUUCGGAUCGUAAAACUCUGUUAUUAGGGAAGAACAUAUGUGUAAGUAACUGUGCACAUCUUGACGGUACCUAAUCAGAAAGCCACGGCUAACUACGUGCCAGCAGCCGCGGUAAUACGUAGGUGGCAAGCGUUAUCCGGAAUUAUUGGGCGUAAAGCGCGCGUAGGCGGUUUUUUAAGUCUGAUGUGAAAGCCCACGGCUCAACCGUGGAGGGUCAUUGGAAACUGGAAAACUUGAGUGCAGAAGAGGAAAGUGGAAUUCCAUGUGUAGCGGUGAAAUGCGCAGAGAUAUGGAGGAACACCAGUGGCGAAGGCGACUUUCUGGUCUGUAACUGACGCUGAUGUGCGAAAGCGUGGGGAUCAAACAGGAUUAGAUACCCUGGUAGUCCACGCCGUAAACGAUGAGUGCUAAGUGUUAGGGGGUUUCCGCCCCUUAGUGCUGCAGCUAACGCAUUAAGCACUCCGCCUGGGGAGUACGACCGCAAGGUUGAAACUCAAAGGAAUUGACGGGGACCCGCACAAGCGGUGGAGCAUGUGGUUUAAUUCGAAGCAACGCGAAGAACCUUACCAAAUCUUGACAUCCUUUGACAACUCUAGAGAUAGAGCCUUCCCCUUCGGGGGACAAAGUGACAGGUGGUGCAUGGUUGUCGUCAGCUCGUGUCGUGAGAUGUUGGGUUAAGUCCCGCAACGAGCGCAACCCUUAAGCUUAGUUGCCAUCAUUAAGUUGGGCACUCUAAGUUGACUGCCGGUGACAAACCGGAGGAAGGUGGGGAUGACGUCAAAUCAUCAUGCCCCUUAUGAUUUGGGCUACACACGUGCUACAAUGGACAAUACAAAGGGCAGCGAAACCGCGAGGUCAAGCAAAUCCCAUAAAGUUGUUCUCAGUUCGGAUUGUAGUCUGCAACUCGACUACAUGAAGCUGGAAUCGCUAGUAAUCGUAGAUCAGCAUGCUACGGUGAAUACGUUCCCGGGUCU